CCCUUAGAUGUUCUGGGCCGCACGCGUGCUACACUGAGUGGAUCAGCGGGUCAGGUUGCGCGAAAGCGUUUCCUAAUCUUUAAAUCCGCUCGUGAUGGGGAUUGACGGUUGCAAUUUUCUGUCAUGAACGAGGACUACCUUGUAAGCGCGGGUCAUCAUCCCGCGCUGAAUACGUCCCUGCCCUUUGUACACACCGCCCGUCGCUCCUACCGAUUGGAUGAUCCGGUGAGCUAUUCGGACUUUCGCAUUGUCGAUUUUCGGCUUUACGAGGGAAAGUCUCGCGAACCUUAUCAUCUAGAGGAAGGAGAAGUCGUAACA
This 318-nucleotide ribosomal RNA is filed under the name uncultured eukaryote. RNAcentral's name for it is "partial 18S ribosomal RNA". It matches the Rfam family "Eukaryotic small subunit ribosomal RNA", at positions 1470 to 1796 of the family's 1831-position model. The record is from RNAcentral.